RNAcentral lists this ribosomal RNA (497 nucleotides) under uncultured bacterium. Its description in RNAcentral is "partial 16S ribosomal RNA". It matches the Rfam family "Bacterial small subunit ribosomal RNA", at positions 28 to 507 of the family's 1533-position model. The record is from RNAcentral.
GAUGAACGCUGGCGGCGUGCCUAAUACAUGCAAGUCGAGCGAACAGACGAGGAGCUUGCUCCUCUGACGUUAGCGGCGGACGGGUGAGUAACACGUGGAUAACCUAUCUAUAAGACUGGGAUAACUUCGGGAAACCGGAGCUAAUACCGGAUAAUAUAUUGAGCCGCAUGGUUCAAUAGUGAAAGACGGUUUUGCUGUCACUUAUAGAUGGAUCCGCGCCGCAUUAGCUAGUUGGUAAGGUAACGGCUUACCAAGGCAACGAUGCGUAGCCGACCUGAGAGGGUGAUCGGCCACACUGGAACUGAGACACGGUCCAGACUCCUACGGGAGGCAGCAGUAGGGAAUCUUCCGCAAUGGGCGAAAGCCUGACGGAGCAACGCCGCGUGAGUGAUGAAGGUCUUCGGAUCGUAAAACUCUGUUAUUAGGGAAGAACAAAUGUGUAAGUAACUAUGCACGUCUUGACGGUACCUAAUCAGAAAGCCACGGCUAACUACGUG